GUGCUUGCUUCAGCAGCACAUAUACUAAAAUUGGAACAAUACAGAGAAGAUUAUGACUCCUGAACAGGGUGACAUUUCCUACUUAUUGUUUACACCCAUUUAC
Molecule: small nuclear RNA, 103 nt
Organism: Cricetulus griseus (Chinese hamster)
Lineage: Eukaryota; Metazoa; Chordata; Mammalia; Rodentia; Cricetidae
Source: Ensembl